AAGCGGUGGAUGAUGUGGAUUAAUUCGAUGCAACGCGAAGAACCUUACCUACCCUUGACAUGUCCGGAACUUGCCAGAGAUGGCUUGGUGCCCGAAAGGGAACCGGAACACAGGUGCUGCAUGGCUGUCGUCAGCUCGUGUCGUGAGAUGUUGGGUUAAGUCCCGCAACGAGCGCAACCCUUGUCCUUAGUUGCUACGCAAGAGCACUCUAAGGAGACUGCCGGUGACAAACCGGAGGAAGGUGGGGAUGACGUCAAGUCCUCAUGGCCCUUAUGGGUAGGGCUUCACACGUCAUACAAUGGUCGGUACAGAGGGUUGCCAAGCCGCGAGGUGGAGCCAAUCCCACAAAGCCGAUCGUAGUCCGGAUUGUUCUCUGCAACUCGAGAGCAUGAAGUCGGAAUCGCUAGUAAUCGCAGGUCAGCAUACUGCGGUGAAUACGUUCCCGGGUCUU
This 451-nucleotide ribosomal RNA is filed under the name uncultured Thiobacillus sp. RNAcentral's name for it is "bacterial SSU rRNA". It matches the Rfam family "Bacterial small subunit ribosomal RNA", at positions 927 to 1382 of the family's 1533-position model. The record is from RNAcentral. Lineage: Bacteria; Pseudomonadati; Pseudomonadota; Betaproteobacteria; Nitrosomonadales; Thiobacillaceae.